CACGUGGGUAACCUGCCUGUAAGACUGGGAUAACUCCGGGAAACCGGGGCUAAUACCGGAUGCUUGUUUGAACCGCAUGGUUCAAACAUAAAAGGUGGCUUCGGCUACCACUUACAGAUGGACCCGCGGCGCAUUAGCUAGUUGGUGAGGUAAUGGCUCACCAAGGCAACGAUGCGUAGCCGACCUGAGAGGGUGAUCGGCCACACUGGGACUGAGACACGGCCCAGACUCCUACGGGAGGCAGCAGUAGGGAAUCUUCCGCAAUGGACGAAAGUCUGACGGAGCAACGCCGCGUGAGUGAUGAAGGUUUUCGGAUCGUAAAGCUCUGUUGUUAGGGAAGAACAAGUACCGUUCGAAUAGGGCGGUACCUUGACGGUACCUAACCAGAAAGCCACGGCUAACUACGUGCCAGCAGCCGCGGUAAUACGUAGGUGGCAAGCGUUGUCCGGAAUUAUUGGGCGUAAAGGGCUCGCAGGCGGUUCCUUAAGUCUGAUGUGAAAGCCCCCGGCUCAACCGGGGAGGGUCAUUGGAAACUGGGGAACUUGAGUGCAGAAGAGGAGAGUGGAAUUCCACGUGUAGCGGUGAAAUGCGUAGAGAUGUGGAGGAACACCAGUGGCGAAGGCGACUCUCUGGUCUGUAACUGACGCUGAGGAGCGAAAGCGUGGGGAGCGAACAGGAUUAGAUACCCUGGUAGUCCACGCCGUAAACGAUGAGUGCUAAGUGUUAGGGGGUUUCCGCCCCUUAGUGCUGCAGCUAACGCAUUAAGCACUCCGCCUGGGGAGUACGGUCGCAAGACUGAAACUCAAAGGAAUUGACGGGGG
This 821-nucleotide ribosomal RNA is filed under the name Bacillus subtilis. RNAcentral describes it as "bacterial SSU rRNA". It matches the Rfam family "Bacterial small subunit ribosomal RNA", at positions 114 to 919 of the family's 1533-position model. Lineage: Bacteria; Bacillati; Bacillota; Bacilli; Caryophanales; Bacillaceae. The record is from RNAcentral.